UCGGCCACAUGAUUAGGAUUGAUGAUCUAUGCAACAUACGCGAUCAGAUGUAUUUGCGUAAGCGCAGGUGCUACCCUGAGCCCUGCGAAGAGCACCUAGCCUCACUUUUGGAGGCUGACUCGCGCUGCAAAGAAAACAGUUGCCAGCACCCGCAGGUUCCUGUCUAAAAGUUUCGGAGUGAUGGACCCAGCUGUGGGUGGCUAAGGCGCGCCUGUGUCGCUCUUGACGUUCAUUCCUCAGGGUCACCAGAAGCAACAGGUGGAGGAAAUGCAGGUGGAGUGCCCUGAUCUGGCAGCCUGGGUAAUGGAGCACUGCAAAGAGCCCCACAGAUCAGGCAGUACAUAAGCAAGCAGCACAACCACUUACAGGAGCUGCGUGAGGUACGUCGUCAAGGAGACGCCUGCCUUGACCAGGCAGAGCAGAUGAAGCUGCAGCUACGGAGUGCACUACAGCUCACGCAGCAACAGGUUAACUGCUGCGGUCCUCUACACACAUGCAGUCACUGGCCGUCAGAGUGGCAGGUGGACAUGCGGUGAAGCCCACACGUCGGGUCAUGCCACAUGAUGGACACAAACAGCAGGAGAGAGAAAUCAAGGCAAAUGUGACAUAACAAGCAGUUCCAAGGUGUGUUUUAUAAGUGCAGUUCAAGGACCACAAUGGUGAGAUGUUCCAAACAGCAGUGAGAGGAGCUGCAGCAGAGCAGCACGUGGGCUCAGGGCUGCCAGCUCCAACACGCAGCAGCUGCAGGCCUGAAUGCAGACCGUGGAGGAAGGCGCAUUAACGUCCAUCCUGUUUUUGGCCAGAUGUAAUAUAGAGGGAAGUCUUUUGUAAGUUUUUUCUUUCUGAUGUGUAUAACAUUUGGUAUUACUAUUAAACAUUUAAAGGGGGAAAAGGCCUGUUUGCUUACAGGCUGUUUGGAAUAUACUAACGUCCCCCAGCAUUGCUCACACCAUUUGAUGGCUGUGCAAUUUGUUGUGUGUAUCAGGAUUCAUUAAUUUCAGUUAGCCAGUGCAGUUGUUUUUGUAUGAGUUGUCCUGGGGUUAAGAAAAAAAGAAAAAGAAUAGAAAAGGAAGAAGGAACGCUAUGAAUAAUGAAUGAAACAGCACUGAUGUCACUUUGGGUUUGCAUCUUUUUGAAGAUAUUUACCAUGUCUGGCAACAAAUGAAUCAUUUUUUUUUAUUGCAGAGAAAUUUAAUUUGUACAAACCUAACUGCUGCCUACAAGGACAGACUGGCGGAAUGUAAUUUUAAUCAAAUCAAAUUUUAUUUGUGUGUUAUAAAAGAGUUACCGAUUUGAAGUAUGACAGUGUUUUAUUAUUAUUACGCUGGGUAAUGAGUUUGAUUCUCUUGCUGCUGGUGGGGGAUGUGGAUCAGAGGGACUCCCAGGCUGCACGCUUCCCAGCCCGGACACCUCCCGGCCUGCGUUCAUCCCGGUCCAGAUGCCUCCCAGCCUGGAUGCUGUGUGCUACACCCUUCACAUCUUCACUUGAGUGUUUAGUGCUACCAGUACUAAUAACCCAAUGCCCUUCACAUCACCUUCACCCUUCUGGCUUUUUAUUAGGCUCACAUCAUAAUUGUAAGAGUGCGUGUGUAUGUGUGUGUGUGUGUGUGUGUGUGUGUGUGUGUGUGUGUGUGUGUGUGUGUGUAAAUGUUCAAAUACAAUUGUUUAGUGUUGAAGUAACAGCGUGAAGUACUGAAGUACUUAAAUCCGUAUGUCUGUGGUCUCUGUCAGGAGGGCCCUCUGCUCUACCUGUGCUGUUCCUCUCUUGCUGUUCUUGGCUUCUCUGCAGCAGCCCACGUACACCACGGCCCUCCAUGCUGGCUUCACUGUAGCGCUGCUUAAAAGAGCAAAACCCACACAACAGUGGCACGGUCACUUUGUGUGUGUUUCUGCGUGUUUGUAUGUGUUUUCUCUGCAGUUCUUGCAGUCCUAGUUUGUUUUUUAAAGGCAUCGUUUUGGUUGUUCAAGAAGCACCAGAAAACAAGUAUUUUAAGAUAAUGUCUUCAGCAAGCUUGUAUUAGACAAUGUUGCCGUAUUGGAAUUGCAGCGUACACACAGCAGAAUAUCAUGCAACUCCAAUAUAGCGAUAUUAACUACCCAGAGUUUCAGUUAUUGGAAGUUAAUUCACAGGGUUCCGCUGUCUAAUUUGUGAUUUAUUCUGCUGUCUAAUUUAUUGUUUAUUCUGAUGUCUAAUUUAUUAUUCAUUCCUAACAGGAGCUGACAGCUCUCAGGCAGCAAUGUCAUGACGCUGCUGGCAGGCUGAGAGAGGGAGUAGUGGAGCAGCUCCGUCCUGAGGCCCUGGGCCUUGUGGAGGAGCUGCACCAGAGGGCCCAGGAGGCCCAGAGGCUCAAGUGUAUCCACCAGACCCUGAGCCAUGACAUGGUCUCAGCUAAUCAGUAGCACAGAGAGCACCUGAGCUGGCUGGAGCACUAAGCGACAAGUAGAGGAAGAGUUUCUUGCACAGGCCAGGAUGGCUGGCUUACAGUUCUGAAAACAGAAAAGAAAAUAUAUUUCAGGGUUGUAACGACAGUGUGAGGAUGUAUGUCUGAUACAUCUGGCUCCUCCUGUCACGACAAGACCUGGACACCCUGUAAGCCUGAGAAGAAAAAAAGUGGAGUGCGGAAUGUUAAAGCGGUCACAGAGCACAGAGGCGCCCCAAUUCAUAACAUCUGUCGGGAUCAGCGUCUGCUGUUGCUUUUUCCGGGAGAAAGGCAGCCGCUCCUCUCCCUCCGGAUGGUACAAACGUGUCACCGACGCACACACCCUGUUUCAUGUGGUCCUACAGCCACAGUGUCCCUGAUGAGAGCUGAGGA
Electrophorus electricus (electric eel) is the source of this 2813-nucleotide long non-coding RNA. RefSeq lists it as uncharacterized. The record is from RefSeq and is a predicted model, not a curated record. NCBI's taxonomy places the organism in Eukaryota, Metazoa, Chordata, Actinopteri, Gymnotiformes, Gymnotidae.